RNAcentral lists this small RNA (1058 nucleotides) under Histoplasma capsulatum. RNAcentral describes it as "hypothetical RNA". Lineage: Eukaryota; Fungi; Ascomycota; Eurotiomycetes; Onygenales; Ajellomycetaceae. RNAcentral also lists the same sequence under 1 other name. The record is from RNAcentral.
AUGCCACUGCCAACCUAUCUAUCGCUGCUAAUCUAUCGCUGCUGCCAACCUAUCUACCGCUGCCAACCUACCUAUCACUGCCAAUCUAUCUACCACUGCUAAUCUAUCGCUGCUAAUCUAUCGCUGCUAAUCUAUUGCUGCUAAUCUAUCUAUCACUGCUAAUCUAUCGCUGCCAACCUACCUACCGCUGCCAACCUAUCUACCACUGCCAAUCUACCUACCGCUGCCAACCUACCUACCACUGCUAAUCUAUCACUGCUAAUCUAUCGCUGCUAAUCUAUUGCUGCUAAUCUAUCGCUGCUAAUCUAUUGCUGCUAAUCUAUCUAUCACUGCUAAUCUAUCGCUGCCAACCUACCUACCGCUGCCAACCUACCUACCGCUGCCAACCUACCUACCACUGCUAAUCUAUCACUGCUAAUCUAUCACUGCCAACCUAUAUAGGGUAAAUCAUGGUCCCAUUUGGUCCCAUUUUGUAAAAUGGGACCAAAUGGGACUGGGACCACUAAUUUAUUAGUAAAACAUGAUCUGGGACUAGAUUUAUAAUAUAAACAGUGUAAAGUGACUAAUUUACUAAACACUAUAUGGGACCAGGACUAAGAUAUCUAAUAAUGGGACUGAGGAAAAAUUUGGUCCCAGUUCCAUGCAUGGUCACACGGCCAGUCUAAACACUCCAUUCAUCAGCUGUGUCUGUUGGAAGCAGGCACAGCUGACAAGUCAGUCAAGAUGAGAUUGAAAUUGAUUGAUGAGCUUUUGCUCAUCAAUCUACCAGCCUCAGAAAUCAGGGAAAUGAUGAUUGAUCUUUCAUAAGAAGUUUCAGUGUUUCUCUUCUCAGAAGCAGAGGAUAUGAAGCUAUAUUGACUGAAUAAUAAAGACAGAGCUGAGUGAGCAGCUGCUGGGAGAGAACAGAUAUACUGUCUAUCAAGAAAAUAGUGAGAAAUAUUGAGUAUAUUUCAAGAAGAGAAGAGCUCAGAUAGUCAAGUCUGAGGAUUCUUGUUCUCACUACUGAAUUGCUGCACACAAAAGUGAAUAUAACAUCUUCAAAUACAAACUCAAGAACC